GGAAAAGGAAGCAGCCCUAUUUACAGCAGUUUGGGAACAGCAGCAGCUCGCCCUCCUGCAGCUCAGAGCGCGCCUGGUUGUUCUGCAGGGGAGGUUUCCCUCGUCACAAGUCCUUGCACUCCACCCAGCCUCAAAGCCACGGGGACGUCGGCAGUGGUCAACAUCGGAUCCCGGACUUGGAAAUCAUCGCUUGAAACAAGAGCAGCACAAAGAUCAUUCACAUUCUUGUAUCCAGGGGGAAAAGUGGCUUGGGUUAGCACUGCCUCGGUGCUCCUGGGUCACUGCAGCCACAGCCGGACCCCGCUGCGGGGCUCAAAGGAUGCGAUGGGGCUCCACGCUUCCAGAUGAGCAAACCAAGCUGUGGGUUUCCCAGCUGGGCCCGAGACCAAAGACAUUCAGCAGUCAGAGCUGUGAUUCAGGGUUUUGGGGCACAGGGAAAGGACGAUGAGCCCCGAGCUCCCCGUGCUGAGCACCCCGACACCUCGCAGCCUGGCACUGCUUCCUCGCGAACGCAGCCCGAGCGCACACACCGCAAAGAAACCAUCUGCCAUUUUCUCGUUUUGUAAUCUUUAUGUAGAUAUUUAACCCUACACCCUUAUCAAACGUAUGUAUAAUGAGCUCUACCAACUAAAAAAAAAAAAAAAAAAAAAAA
Molecule: long non-coding RNA, 652 nt
Organism: Numida meleagris (helmeted guineafowl)
Lineage: Eukaryota; Metazoa; Chordata; Aves; Galliformes; Numididae
Exons: 2
Source: RefSeq, a predicted model, not a curated record